UGGUGGGGUGACUUGUCUGCUUAAUUGCGAUAACGAACGAAACCUUAACCUGCUAAAUAGCCCGCAUUGCUCCGGCAGUGCGCUGGCUUCUUAGAGGGACUUUCGGCUCAAGCCGAAGGAAGUUUGAGGCAAUAACA
RNAcentral lists this ribosomal RNA (137 nucleotides) under uncultured eukaryote. RNAcentral's name for it is "partial 18S ribosomal RNA". It matches the Rfam family "Eukaryotic small subunit ribosomal RNA", at positions 1299 to 1458 of the family's 1831-position model. The record is from RNAcentral.